Molecule: ribosomal RNA, 407 nt
Filed under: bacterium
Lineage: Bacteria
Description: partial 16S ribosomal RNA
Rfam family: Bacterial small subunit ribosomal RNA
Source: RNAcentral
UCGAGAAUUUUUCACAAUGGGGGAAACCCUGAUGGAGCGACGCCGCGUGGAGGAUGAAGGCGUUUUCGUUGUAAACUCCUGUCAAACGGGAACAAGAAAGUGAUAGUACCGUUAGAGGAAGAGACGGCUAACUCUGUGCCAGCAGCCGCGGUAAUACAGAGGUCUCAAGCGUUGUUCGGAUUCAUUGGGCGUAAAGGGUGCGUAGGUGGCUUGUUAAGUUGAAGGUGAAAUCUCGGGGCUCAACUCCGAAACUGCCUUCAAUACUGGCGAGCUCGAGGACUGUAGAGGAGAAUGGAAUUCACGGUGUAGCAGUGAAAUGCGUAGAUAUCGUGAGGAAGACCAGUGGCGAAGGCGAUUCUCUGGGCAGUUCCUGACACUGAGGCACGAAGGCCAGGGGAGCAAACGGG